RNAcentral lists this ribosomal RNA (397 nucleotides) under uncultured bacterium. RNAcentral describes it as "bacterial SSU rRNA". It matches the Rfam family "Bacterial small subunit ribosomal RNA", at positions 28 to 429 of the family's 1533-position model. The record is from RNAcentral.
GACGAACGCUGGCGGCGUGCUUAACACAUGCAAGUCGAGCGGUAAGGCCCUUUCGGGGGUACACGAGCGGCGAACGGGUGAGUAACACGUGGGUGACCUGCCCUUAGCUCUGGGAUAAGCCUGGGAAACUGGGUCUAAUACCGGAUAUGACUCCAUGACGCAUGUUGUGGGGUGGAAAGCCUUGUGCGGCUAGGGAUGGGCCCGCGGCCUAUCAGCUUGUUGGUGGGGUGAUGGCCUACCAAGGCGACGACGGGUAGCCGGCCUGAGAGGGUGACCGGCCACACUGGGACUGAGACACGGCCCAGACUCCUACGGGAGGCAGCAGUGGGGAAUAUUGCACAAUGGGCGAAAGCCUGAUGCAGCGACGCCGCGUGAGGGAUGACGGCCUCGGUGUAAC